Molecule: long non-coding RNA, 388 nt
Filed under: Glycine max (soybean)
Lineage: Eukaryota; Viridiplantae; Streptophyta; Magnoliopsida; Fabales; Fabaceae
Description: long non-coding RNA (GMAX_LNC004590)
Source: RNAcentral
GUGCCAUAGGAACAACAUAUUAUUCAAACAAGAAAUGUUGGAUUUUGAUAAGGUGACCAAGUUGAUCAAAUUCAAGGCUUGGAGUUGGCUCAAUGCAAAGGUUAACAACUUUAAAUCAUCAUUUUUCGAUUGGUAUGUUUAGGAGGUUGGGCCACUUUUGAGGGCGACGGAAUGGUAAAAUGCGAGGGAUUGGUUUGGUACAGGUUCAAGCUGUGUAGUUAUUUACAAAGCAUUUUCUGUUAACGUGGUAUUCUGCAUAUACACAUGCAUGAGCAGCUGUUGCAUUGGGGGUUAUUACUAAGGUAGAUAUGCUCUGUCAUUAAUAGGUUGGGUGCAUUGAACCUGUUGGAUGAUGUGGAAACAUUUUUUUUUAUCCUUUGCUACCUCU